UACGGAGGGGGCUAGCGUUGUUCGGAAUUACUGGGCGUAAAGCGCACGUAGGCGGCUUUGUAAGUUGGAGGUGAAAGCCCAGGGCUUAACCCUGGAAUUGCCUUUAAGACUGCAUCGCUAGAAUCGUGGAGAGGUAAGUGGAAUUCCGAGUGUAGAGGUGAAAUUCGUAGAUAUUCGGAAGAACACCAGUGGCGAAGGCGACUUACUGGACACGUAUUGACGCUGAGGUGCGAAAGCGUGGGGAGCAAACAGG
Molecule: ribosomal RNA, 253 nt
Filed under: uncultured bacterium
Lineage: Bacteria
Description: partial 16S ribosomal RNA
Rfam family: Bacterial small subunit ribosomal RNA
Source: RNAcentral